GUUUAUGGCCACUCCAUUCUGAACACGCCUGAUCUCAUCUGACCUUGGCUGCCAAACAGAGUCAGGCCUGGUUAGUACGUGGAUGGGAGACUGCCUGGGACUACCAGGUGCCAUAAGCU
This 119-nucleotide ribosomal RNA is filed under the name Fundulus heteroclitus (mummichog). Lineage: Eukaryota; Metazoa; Chordata; Actinopteri; Cyprinodontiformes; Fundulidae. The record is from RNAcentral.